GGGGGGGGAAUGCAGGCCGUACGAUGUUAUCGGCAGUAUUGGUAAGUGAGCAAUGCGACGAAGGUGGAUGGUAAAUGCAAAAUAAAAUAAAAUCACCGUCUUGAUGAGACAACGUGCACGAUUCGUAAUUGUGACUGCAAACCAAUUAAAUCAAUAUAUAAAAACUACAAGUCCUGGGCUUUGCACCGCUUUGAUGGGCAAGGCCAGGGACCCAGCAUCCGGUUCAAUGUCAAGGGGCCUCGGCCGAGCUUUUCCGUGUUCAUUUUAUAUCGGUGUUGCUAAUUUCUAUAAGCAGGGCACUCCAGCAAGAUGUGCUGCAUAGAUUACACCUCGCCACAGUUGUCACAGGAUGGAUGUGUAGUGUGGCCAUUGCGAAAAAGAAGACGGUUCAUGUACGCAACGUUCAGUCGAAGCCGGUAAUAGAGGGUCUCCAUCACAUCAUAAAUUAAUACACUGGUCCAAGCUUACUCAAUGACUACGCUACCACUGUGGUUACAUCGCGUCAUGCCAAUCACACCAGGCUACCAACCAUCUUAUGAACACAGAUACACCAAAUACUCUAACGAAAUGCCGAGGUAACGACGACGACCGUUUCUGCAGGCACUGGGACAGGACGCAGUGUUUCUCUUAUAUUUUGUCGAAAUUCUACUUUAAUUUUAUGUGAAUGCCAGAAGUAGGACUUGAAAGGAGAAAAAAUUUGCGCGUGUUGUCGACGAAAUUUUUUUAUGAAUACGGUGAUUCAGUGGAGCCUAAAUAAUUUCACUUCUAAGAUGCAGGGCACGUGCCUCUAACCGCGCGGCGCGUCCAGCAGCCAAAUUCAAGAAGGAAGAAGAUCUUAUCGGACCGUACGGACGUUACAUCAUGGGAGAUGAUGAAACGCCUGAUUGGGUAGCCCCACGCGGCAUGCCUGACUGGCGGAGGGCAGCCGAGCAGAGCAUUCGAUACCAACGCUCAUUUCG
This is a long non-coding RNA of Dermacentor silvarum, 959 nucleotides long. RefSeq lists it as uncharacterized. The record is from RefSeq and is a predicted model, not a curated record. Lineage: Eukaryota; Metazoa; Arthropoda; Arachnida; Ixodida; Ixodidae. The transcript is spliced from 3 exons.